AUGAAGAACGCAGCGAAAUGCGAUACGUAAUGUGAAUUGCAGAAUUCAGUGAAUCAUCGAAUCUUUGAACGCAUAUUGCGCUCUCUGGUAUUCCGGAGAGCAUGCUUGUUUGAGUAUCAGUAAACACCUCAACUUCCAUAUCUUUUUUUGAAAUGGGAGUUGGACUUGAGUGAUCCCAACGCUUUUCCUCACCGAAAAGUGGCGGGUUACUUGAAAUGCAGGUGCAGCUGGACUUUUCUCUGAGCUAUAAGCAUAUCUAUUUAGUCUGCCUAAAAAACAGAUUAUUACCUUUGCUGCAGCUAACAUAAAGGAGAUUAGUUCUUGUGCUGACUGAUGCAGGAUUCACAAAGACAGCUUCGGCCGACUUUGUAAACUCGAUCUCAAAUCAAGUAAGACUACCCGCUGAACUUAAGCAUAUCAAUAAGCGGAGGA
Molecule: unclassified non-coding RNA, 432 nt
Filed under: soil metagenome
Description: partial contains 5.8S ribosomal RNA, internal transcribed spacer 2, and large subunit ribosomal RNA
Rfam family: 5.8S ribosomal RNA (bases 1-119)
Source: RNAcentral